This is a long non-coding RNA of Conger conger (European conger), 7103 nucleotides long. RefSeq lists it as uncharacterized. Lineage: Eukaryota; Metazoa; Chordata; Actinopteri; Anguilliformes; Congridae. The record is from RefSeq and is a predicted model, not a curated record. The transcript is spliced from 2 exons.
UUACAUUUGGUCCCCAGAAUUUCAGAAAUGAUGAAUAAAAAGGGAUGUAAUUCUGACAUGGAUAACCAAGUCUGUAAAUACCCUUCAAUGUGGCUGUCUGCAAGUUGACCUGAUCUUCAUCGUUUCAUUUCAAAUCCAAUGUGCUGGAACACAGAAAUUGUACCACUGUGCAAAUACUAUAGUAGACUGCACUGUAUGCAGAAUUUCUUGUUAACUGCCUCUCAGUUGCAUGUAGCCACAUCAUGUUAACUGACACAUUUUGUUUCAGAAUUCCUCACAUUGGAGCCAGAGGAAGCAGUGUGGUGCCUCGGGGUGGAUCCGGAGGUGCAGUGGGUGGGCGCAGGUGUCCGGCGUCCGUUUCCAGGUCUUUGGGGUUGCCGUUCGUAAAGGUGGGGUCUCCUUCAGGGUCAGUACAGCAGGGCAUAGAAGGUCCUUCCUCUCUCUGCCUUUCACACUCUCACACGCUCAGGAAUGGUGCCGACUGAACUUGUUUGCAGCCUCGACCGUGCCUUAAAUACCAUUCCCUGCUCAUUAGGAAACAGGCUGCAGCUGAGUCAGUACCUUCCACUCUGCUCACUCACGUGCGCUGUCCGGGGUCCUGGACUGCAGGUAGAGGGAUCUCUCUCCAAGGUGCUGAUCUCCCCAUCACCUCUCUAGGAAGAUACACUCCUUCCCAGACCUCCCCUAAUGCGCAACGUCUGCGCGGUUGCUCUGCGCGGGUCCCUCCAGGGUUCUCCACCCACGUGGCACAACAUGCAGGAGCAGGGGUGCCACAUACUCCCCCCCUCAGCUCCACGCCCCAGGCGGGAGCAUCUGCCCCUAGGCCAUCCUCUCUCCUGGAUAGCGCAUCAGCAUUCUGGUGCAGCUUCCCAGCGCGAUGCUCCACCUUGAACUGGUAAGGCUGCAACUCUAAAAACCAGCGGGUCACUCGGGCGUUGCUGUCCCGGUUAAGGUACAUCCAUUUUAGGGGAGCAUGAUCGGUCACCAACAAGAACUCACGGUCAAGUAGGUAAUAUCGUAAUUUACCUACCGGCCAUUUGAUGGCGAGACAUUCCUUCUCAACCGUGGCGUAAUUCCUUUCCUGGCUGAGGAGUUUUCUGCUGAUGUAUGUCACUGGAUGCUCCACUCCAUCCUGGAUCUGUGACAGGACUGCUCCCAGGCCCACUUCUGAUGCGUCGGUCUGCAGCACGAAGGGUUUCUGAAAGUCGGGAGAGAUUAGUACAGGUUCCUCACCCAGGGCGGCCUGUAAGUCCUGGAAGGCUGCAGUGGCGAGGGGGUUCCACUGGACCCGGUUGGGCUGCUCCUUUUUGGUGAGGUCAUGUAGCGGGGUUGCUCGGGCUGCAAACUCUGGAAUGAACUGCCGAUAGUAACCCACCAGGCCCAGGAACAUUCUCAACUGUUUCUUUGUGGCCGGUUGGGGCCAGGUGCCAAUGCUGUCGACCUUGUUCGACUGGGGCUUCACCCGCCCCCUCCCGACAGUGUGGCCAAGAUAGGCUGCUUCCUCCAAUCUAAGCCGGCACUUCGUAGGGCUAGCCGUGAGCCCGGCCUCCCUCAGGGACAUCAGCACAGCUUCGACUUUGUCGACAUGGCUGUCCUAGUCGGUGCUGUGGAUGACGAUGUCAUCCAGGUAGGCUGCCGCAUACUUCUGGUGGGGCUGCAACACCUGGUCCAUCAACCUCUGGAACGUGGCUGGGUCUCCAUGCACGCCAAAGGGGAGUACUGUGUACUGGUAGAGGCCUGUGGGGGUCGCAAAGGCAGUCUUCUCCCUGGCACGGGGUGUUAGGGGAACUUGCCAAUAUCCUCACGUCAGGUCCAGGGUGCUGAUGAAUCAGGCCGGUCCCAGCCGCUCAAUGAGCUCGUCCACUCUCGGCAUGGGGUAGGUGUCACACAGGGAGACAUCGUUCAGCCGGCAGAAGUCAUUACAGAACCGCCAGCUCCCAUCUGGCUUGGGGACCAGCACCACGGGACUGGACCAGGCACUGCGGCUUUCCUCAAUGACCCCGAGGUCGAGCCGGUCGUGCUCUGGGGCACCUCUCGGACUGAAAAGAGGAGAGGGUAAGAGCUGGUCCCAGUCCUUGCCGUCCUUACCGUCAGGCACAUCUCUUUUAGUACCCCUGACAUGAAGCACGAUCCUUGGUCUGUCAGGAGUUCCUCCGCUAUCCCGACCCUGCUAAAAAGCAGGAACAACUUCCUGGCGACCGCUUUUCCUGUCGCGGUCCUGAGCGGGACAGCUUCCGGGUAGCGGGUUGCGUAAUCCAGGAUCACAAGGAUGUACCGAUGUCCCCGGCUGGACUUCGGCAAGGGCCCCAGGAUGUCCAUCGCAAUCCUCCUGAAGGGUACGUCAAUGACCAGCAGGGGGAUUAGUUGGUUACCUUAGGGCUGUGGAGUUGGCACACGGCGCAGUGUCGGCAGUAGUCCUCCACAGCCCUUUUCACCCUGGGCCAAUAGAACCUCGCCAGGAUCCUCUCAUAGGUCUUCUCCAUCCCCAGAUAGGCUCCCAGCAGGUGAGUGUGGCCUAAGUAGAGGACUCGGGGCACAAACGGUUGUGGGAUGAGCAGCUGUUCGACUUCCCCCCUGUGGGUUACAGACUCGAUAGAGCAGGUCAUGUUUUACCCUGAAGAAGGGAUAAGCUGGUGUACUCACCGCCCCUUGUGGUGCCCCGUUAAUGUCUCGUGCAUCUCUCCAGGCUUGAGCAAACUUUGGCUCGUUUAGUUGGGCAGUGCCAAAGCGAGUGGGUGCUUCAGUCUCCUCGCUCAUGUCUCGGGGGCCCUCCGAGAAGGCCUGACGGACUUCUCUCUCCAGGGGCGGGGCCUCCCCGAGCUCCUUUUCAGACGCGGUGACCGUUCCACUGGUGGCCGGGGCGCUUGGUUGGCGUUCCCUCUCCGAUAGCAGGGCCUCUCCUUCACUGUCCCCGGACGUCACUGCCCAGACUGGUUGGGGGGUCUUCCCAUUAACACAGGUACAGGUAAAUUCGGUACUACCCCUGCUCUUACCGAGUGCGUCCCCCGUGGGGUGAUUAGGUCCACCCACACCGUAGGGUAUUUCCUUGUGUCCCCAUAGAUACACUCCACCGCCACCUCUUCACCCCUCUUUUCUCCAGCAAAGUCUGGUCGCAGCAGGGUGAUGGCGCUGCCCGAGUCGAGCACUGCUUCAGUGUCCUGGCCCCCCACUCGUAUUGGGAAUCUUGGGGCCUCCGUACUCCGGUGCGCCCAGCAGGUGGUCAUGUACAGGCAGGGGUGCGGUGGGCUGUUCCCACCACUGGCGGUGGGCAUGGACACCUCCUUCCCAGGGCAGCUCCUGGCCAGAUGCCCCUCCUCUCCGCAGUUGUAGCAUCCCACAUGGGCCAUGGUCUCCCUGCGUCGGGUCUGCCCCGGCAAUUUGGGUCAGGGCGGGCCGGUGGGUGCUUCACAGGCUGUGGGCCCCUGGUUGGGCGGCUCUGGGUUUCAGUACGUUCUGAUUGGAGCAUCUUCUGGGUUACCUGAUGGUUUUCGAGGAGGCCUACUAGUAGUUCUACAGAGGCGGGGCCCAUCUGUGCCACGUACCGUUUGGCUUCCUUCGGUAGGGCGCGGGUGCAUCGGUCCAACAACACCCUCUCCAACAGGGGUGGCCCAUCUUCCUCAGCCAGCCAGCUCCUAGUCAGGCAGGUCAGGGCGGCGAUUUGGGACCGGGCAGGCUGGAAGGCGUCAUAUGACCAGUCGUGGUAUCGUUGGGCUCGUGCGGGUAGGCUGAACCCAUAUCGGGCCAGGAUGGCUUUCCUCAACUUGAGGUAGUCGAUGGCAUCAGCCAUGGCCAUAUCCCGGUAGGCCUGUUGGGCCUGUUGGGCCCGUCAUUUUCAUCAACACAUCUCGGGGGGUUCGUCUCGAUCCGUCACGAGGAGAUAGGCGACAGAGUUCGACCACCGCUUCCUGCAGGGCCCGCUGGGACCUGGCCAGCUCGUUGAUGACCGCUUCCAUCAUCAUCCCUCUGGACCCCUCCUCUGCUUCUGCACCUUGCAUCUCGGCUAGUGUAGGGGCAGCCAGUCGUCUCUUUCUUCCCCAGGGGGUGUGGCUUCCAUUCACUCGUGUCGGUUCUUUUGCCCAGACCAACUUCCACAGCGUGGCAUCUAGGAAGAUACACUCCUUCCCAGACCUCUCCUAAUGCGCGACGUCUGCGCGGUUGCUCUGCGCGGGUCCCUCCAGGGUUCUCCACCCACGUGGCACAACAUGUGGGAGCAGGGGUGACACAAUAGUUCAUCACAUUUUUGGCAUUCAUAUGAAUCCAUGUCCAUAGUUUUUUUAAUGCACUUUUGUCAGUUUAGUUGCACUUGAAUAAAACAGGAAUGAAACCAUUGUAACCAUUGGAUAACCCUGUUUACUGCUUUCACAUGAUCAGCAUCAAAACACUCGACAUGGCAUCAAGGCAUUAAAUUCCUUUGGAGGGAGCUUUGAAGCCUGACUUAGCAGCCUGACGUAGCGCACUGCUCAAAAUAAAGCUAAGGUGUAUGGCAAGCCAUUUUAGCAUUUAAUCAUUUUUCUUGAUAUCAAAAAGUGUUAAAAUUUCAUAUCAGGUUUUUAAAAAUUGAUAAGUUUAAGGGCAGUUACCAAUAGGACCCCCUAUAUUGUGAUACAUCCUUAUUGGUGUUCCCAUGAUCACCCCCCCUCCAAUCAAGGUUACUGUUAUUGGGCUGCAAGGUGGCUCAUUCGGUUAAGACACUAUGCUGUGCAUAGUGCCAGUGGAAACUGUGGCCGGUAGAUCUACACAUCUUGGGUGAUGUGUAAUUGAUGAAGGUCCAGUUGGAUUGGGUUUUAUCUAGUGACCUUGCUAGUGACCUUGCUGGUCAGUCAUCAUGUCGAUUACAGUUACAGUUACCACAUGAGAAAGGCAUUCCUUUCGACUUUGGCAAGCUUAGCUGUUGUCGGCGGCAUGCAAAGAAGCAGCUGGCGAUUCCACGUGUUUCGGAGGAGAAUCUUGGAUGUGUAUGCUGUCUUGAAACAGCAGUGAGGUUUGCAGCAUGAAUGCAGCUGCAACUUGAGAAUUCCACAUUGGGAUAACCCCAAGUUUGGUGCCAAAUUUAUUUACUUAAUUAAAUAAAAAAGUUAUUGAUAUUACUGACAUAUUAAAGCUGCUCUUUUUAUUGCAUUGUGUUCAGACGUGUAAAUUGAUACUGCUCAAUGGAUUUGUUCCAGUAAACACCCACAAACAUGCUUUUUUCAUGUUCAGAAUGAAGAAGGAAAGACUAAAGAUCACAAGGGAACUGGAAACAGGAUGUUAACAGAAGAAGAGAGUUUUAUCUCACAACGUUCCUUUGUCCUCCGCAGAUUGCUGUGCGACACCAAUGGAACCCAGGAACAGACUGUUUCUGCUUGUACCACUAUUAGCUAUUCCACUAUUAGUGGUACUGGCUUGCUUACUGUCAUUCCUGCGUUCCGGUACUGAUUCCAAUUGUCUACCACGUGUGGUCUGAUUACUAAUAAAGGUCAGCUGUGUGACUUUCCUCUUGGUUAACCAGGAUUUGUUUGUCAUACUUCAUACAUAGCACUACUUACUAAUAAGAACUAACAUAGAUAUUGUACAGUAUUACUUAUAUUACAGUUUUUUACAAUCAUUUUCACACUUGUCUCAAUACCAUGUCCACUUUUUCAAAACUCUUCACACAGUGUGCUUUUGAAACACGCACCUGAGCACAUCAGUUAACCUUUGGUGCAAAAUGCACUUCAAUCAUCAAAACACUUAAUAUUUCACCCAAAAGUGACUCAUGCUGCCAUAACUAUAGCAUAUGCUUUCUCCCAUAAGACCACUUUGUCACUCAAUGUUCAAUGAACUGCAAAACACAAACAACUAGGAGCAUUGCUAAAUACAUAUAUUAUGUAUUUUCCUUUCCUCUAUUUUUGCAUCCACAAAUAUUUCAAGGUAUGUAAAUUUACAGUAAACUGUAAAUUAAUGAAUGUUUUACUGUAUCGGAAACCCAAAAUAACAAUUUUUACUGUGUAAUGUAAAAUAUGAUAAAGAAACAAAUCGAAAGCGACAGUAUUCUUCAGGGGGUUUACUGUAUUUGUUCACAGUGAAAUAUACUGUUGUUCAGAAAAGAAAAUUUAAUUCAAUCAAUUACUCAAUACAUAACAAUCAAUAACAAAUGCAUACCAAAUAGCAAUAUUCUCACUGUAUACAAUAAUUCACACAUAUUGUCUACUGUUUGUCUACUGUUGGCCUGGCCCAUUCAUCCUGUCCUCUGCAUUUGGCCAUAGAUUUUCAUCAACAUCGCAGCAAAUGUUAUCCUUUGCCAGACACCGAGGAAAAAAUCUCUUUGCGUGCCUUAUCCACUGUUAUGUCCAUACACCCAGCAGCCAUUGCAUCAAGGAGUGACAUCUGGUCAUGUGGGUGGUGGUCAUAAGCCUUCCAUCUCCAUGCAGAAAAUAAUUAUUCUAUGGGGUUGAGGAAAGGCAAGUAUGGUGGCAGGAAUAACAACAUCAUCCUGGGAUGGGCUGUAAACCACUCUGUGACCUGGCGGGAGUGGUGAAAGGCCACAUUGUCCAAUGCAAUCACAUAUACUGGUGCACUCUCUUGCUCUCUUUCUGCUGAAAGCCUUUCAAACAGUUCAUCAAGAAAAGCAAUAAGGUUUGCUGAAUUGUAUGGGCCAAUGAUGGCCUUAUGCAGCUGCAGUCCAUCAACAGAUAUUGCUGCACACAUGGUUAUGUUAGCCCCCCACUGGCCUGGAACAUCUACAGUUGCCCUUCUCCUGAUUACAUUCCGUCCACGGCGGCGUCUUUUUGCCAAGUUGAAAUCAGCCUCAUCCACGUAGAUGAAUGUGUGUUCAGUUUCACUGGCCUCAAGCUCCAUGACUCUCUAUAGUAAAUUUGAGAAUACACAAGGUACAAUAUGUCACAAAUUGUAUAGCUUACUGUGCAAAAUCUCAAAGAAAAUGCCUGUGUGCUGUGUUGUUCAAAAUGACCUUAGAUAUCUUACCUGGACAUAUUGGUACCUGAGUUCCUUGACACGCUCAGAGUUCCUGUCAAAGGGGACAGUGUACAACUGUUUCAUCUGGAUUUGAUGUUUCUGUAGCGCUCUUGAAAUAGUUGUUGUGCUAACACUGUCAAUGUUUGUAAAUAAAAUGUUGUCUGCGAUUA